RNAcentral lists this unclassified non-coding RNA (531 nucleotides) under Hevea brasiliensis (rubber tree). The record is from RNAcentral. Lineage: Eukaryota; Viridiplantae; Streptophyta; Magnoliopsida; Malpighiales; Euphorbiaceae.
AGAUUCACUUUCAUGUCCCAUUGCUACACGGAUAUACUGAGCCUCUUCCUUAAUCAAAUUAUCAGCUUCUUUCAGCUCGUCUUCUUCAAAAUCUUCUAUCACAGGAACAGAGACAGCAGCUCGCUUGACACCUUUCUUUUUCUCCUUACUCAGCUUCUCAUCUAGUGGAUAUUUUGCAUUAUCAUGAUCAAGUAAGGCUAGAAGCUCCUUCCGGAUCAUUUCAUCAGCAAGUUCAGUCAACGUAGGAGGAACAAAGGAACUCUUAUCUUCAUCAGCUCUCAGCAAAGAAUUUCUAAUUAGUUCCAAUGAAGCAGCAGGAGGCCUAGGGAGUUCCCUCUGCAGUACUUUUGAUCUCUUCCUAAGCAACGCCUGCUGUCUUGCUUCUUCCACAGCCUUUUCUCUAGCUAUCCUAUCAGACAUAUCUUCUUCAAUCUUUUCUUCUGGUUCUUCUUGAUCUUCUGGAGGUGGUUGAAUAACUAUUUGAUAUUCAUUCUUGGGCUGUGGAAGAUUACUAAGACCAGACCGCAAGUU